This 503-nucleotide ribosomal RNA is filed under the name uncultured bacterium. RNAcentral describes it as "partial 16S ribosomal RNA". It matches the Rfam family "Bacterial small subunit ribosomal RNA", at positions 28 to 523 of the family's 1533-position model. The record is from RNAcentral.
GACGAACGCUGGCGGCAGGCUUAACACAUGCAAGUCGAGCGGGGUGAUGGUGCUUGCACUAUCACUUAGCGGCGGACGGGUGAGUAAUGCUUAGGAAUCUGCCUAUUAGUGGGGGACAACAUCUCGAAAGGGAUGCUAAUACCGCAUACGUCCUACGGGAGAAAGCAGGGGAUCACUUGUGACCUUGCGCUAAUAGAUGAGCCUAAGUCGGAUUAGCUAGUUGGUGGGGUAAAGGCCUACCAAGGCGACGAUCUGUAGCGGGUCUGAGAGGAUGAUCCGCCACACUGGGACUGAGACACGGCCCAGACUCCUACGGGAGGCAGUAGUGGGGAAUAUUGGACAAUGGGGGGAACCCUGAUCCAGCCAUGCCGCGUGUGUGAAGAAGGCCUUAUGGUUGUAAAGCACUUUAAGCGAGGAGGAGGCUCUUUUGGUUAAUACCCAAGAUGAGUGGACGUUACUCGCAGAAUAAGCACCGGCUAACUCUGUGCCAGCAGCCGCGGUAA